GUGGGUAUAGUUCAGUGGUAAAGCAUGUGCUUAGCAUGCACAAGGCCCUGGGUUCAACCCUUAGUGCUCCG
This 71-nucleotide transfer RNA is filed under the name Camelus bactrianus (Bactrian camel). It matches the Rfam family "tRNA". Rfam says of the family: Transfer RNA (tRNA) molecules are approximately 80 nucleotides in length. Their secondary structure includes four short double-helical elements and three loops (D, anti-codon, and T loops). Lineage: Eukaryota; Metazoa; Chordata; Mammalia; Artiodactyla; Camelidae. RNAcentral also lists the same sequence under 2 other names. The record is from Rfam by way of RNAcentral.